UACGGGGGGGGGUAAGCGUUGUUCGGAAUUACUGGGCGUAAAGGCUCGUAGGCGGCCAACUAAGUCAUACGUGAAAUCCCUCAGCUUAACUGGGGACUGCGUGUGAUACUGGAUGGCUUGGAUUUGGGAGAGGGAUGCGGAAUUCCAGGUGUAGCGGUGAAAUGCGUAGAUAUCUGGAGGAACACCGGUGGCGAAGGCGGCAUCCUGGACCAAUAUUGACGCUGAGGUGCGAAAGCGUGGGGAGCAAACAGG
Molecule: ribosomal RNA, 252 nt
Filed under: uncultured bacterium
Lineage: Bacteria
Description: partial 16S ribosomal RNA
Rfam family: Bacterial small subunit ribosomal RNA
Source: RNAcentral